Molecule: long non-coding RNA, 366 nt
Organism: Rhododendron vialii
Lineage: Eukaryota; Viridiplantae; Streptophyta; Magnoliopsida; Ericales; Ericaceae
Exons: 3
Source: RefSeq, a predicted model, not a curated record
CACCCCUCUCACCACUCUUGUGGGUUUUCCUUCUUUUGAGGAACCCAUCUCUUGUUUCUCUGUUGUGGCAAAAUUGUGUCUGUAAAACAGAUUGAAAUUUGAAGGGAUUGGUUUGUAAAACAGAAUUGAAAUUUGAAGGGAUUGGUUCGUAUAACAGAGUGUAAAGGGAAAAGGGUUGAAAGGAUUGGGGAAGAGAGAGAGAGAGAGAGAGAGAGAGAGAGAGAGAGGAUGCAGGCCGAGGUGAGGUUUAUGGGUUCGGCCGGACUUUUGUAUCGAGCAAUUGACUACGAAUUCUACACGGGGAAGGUAUGGGUCAGGUCAAAUAUAGGAAGCUCCCUUGCUAGCCCCCUACCUCUUCUCUCUGUC